MicroRNA precursor from Mustela putorius furo (domestic ferret), 95 nucleotides. Ensembl annotates it as microRNA 16-2. Its record names the gene MIR16-2. The record is from Ensembl. NCBI's taxonomy places the organism in Eukaryota, Metazoa, Chordata, Mammalia, Carnivora, Mustelidae.
CAUACUUGUUCCGCUCUAGCAGCACGUAAAUAUUGGCGUAGUGAAAUAAAUAUUAAACACCAAUAUUAUUGUGCUGCUUUAGCGUGACAGGGAUA